Small nucleolar RNA from Lactuca sativa (garden lettuce), 107 nucleotides. Lineage: Eukaryota; Viridiplantae; Streptophyta; Magnoliopsida; Asterales; Asteraceae. The record is from RefSeq and is a predicted model, not a curated record.
AAAUCAUUUUGGAGACAAUUUCUUAUCAAUCCCUUAUAGCGCUCCCAUGCCUCGUAGAGUGACUCCCCCGGUUGUUGCUCGAAAUUAGCUAUUGCUUUCUUCAGUUU